ACACAACGGGUGGAGCCUGCGGUUAAUUGGACUCAACGCCGGGCAGCUCACCGGAUAAGACAGCUGGAUGAUAGCCGGGCUGAAGACUCUGCUUGACUAGCUGAGAGGAGGUGCAUGGCCGUCGUCAGUUCGUACUGUGAAGCAUCCUGUUAAGUCAGGCAACGAGCGAGACCCACGCCAACAGUUGCCAGCAUGUCCUCCGGGAUGAUGGGGACACUGUUGGGACCGCCUCUGCUAAAGAGGAGGAAGGAAUGGGCAACGGUAGGUCAGCAUGCCCCGAAUUAUCCGGGCUACACGCGGGCUACAAUGGUCAGGACAAUGGGUAUCGACACCGAGAGGUGGAGGCAAUCUCCUAAACCUGUCCUUAGUUCGGAUUGUGGGCUGCAACUCGCCCACAUGAAGCUGGAAUCCGUAGUAAUCGCGUUUCAAAAUAGCGCGGUGAAUAUGUCCCUGCUCCUU
Molecule: ribosomal RNA, 459 nt
Filed under: uncultured Methanolinea sp.
Lineage: Archaea; Methanobacteriati; Methanobacteriota; Methanomicrobia; Methanomicrobiales; Methanoregulaceae
Description: bacterial SSU rRNA
Rfam family: Archaeal small subunit ribosomal RNA
Source: RNAcentral